Molecule: long non-coding RNA, 208 nt
Organism: Thalassophryne amazonica
Lineage: Eukaryota; Metazoa; Chordata; Actinopteri; Batrachoidiformes; Batrachoididae
Exons: 2
Source: RefSeq, a predicted model, not a curated record
AUUCCUUACUCCCCGUCACAGACCAGGACGAAUUGAGACAUCCUGUCCCCUGGGAGUGCAAAAGGGAAAGCAAGAGAAAAUCAAUAGGGAGGAUGAGUGAAGACCCAGGGGCCCCAUCAAAAACAGAAUGUUUCUCAUCUGUGCUGUGUGGACAGACGGUGACCUGAAGCACGCUGUGAAAGCAAUGCCCCAAAGAGUAAACAGGAAA